CUCAGCGGGCACCGCCAUCUAGAACAAAUUGGCUCCAGAGGUGCUGUCCUGACCUUGCCACUCUUGUCAGAAGCCCCUCCCUUUGAAGCCAUCAGCUUCUCAGGUGGCAGCCCACUCCACCAUCCCCAGUAUCCUCCAUGACAGCCCCUUACUGAGUGGAGGGACAGACCCUCCCAACUGAAGCGCAGGCAGCAGAGGAGCUCCCAGUUUGACAGAGGGUAGGGUUGAGAGGUGCCAGGACAGCACAAAAUAUUCCCAUCCCCACCUGACUUGGAGGGGUUGCCAAGGCUUCCUGGAGCCUCAGGAGCCACCAAGUGUUCAAUGUUCCCUAAAAGACUCGCCGUUGGUGCCUGGACACCCAUGUGUCAUCAGGUGGUACCCAAGGGCCUCAUGGGCAGCCCAAUAGGCAGAUCAACAGCCUACCUCCUUCUUGUGCUGGGCAUCUCCAGCUUUAUGUGACAAAAGUGACCUGUUCAAACAGCCUGGGGGAAGGGAUUGGGAUGAGUGUUUGAGGAGAAGGUAGUCGGGAAGGUAUGUCACCAUGAACCCUCCCAGGUAUGGUUCUGUGAGUAGAAAAUCAAACCUGCUGAGUCACAUUCAUGUUUUUUCAUGGUGGGGUUUGUAGAAGCAGGUAAAACUUAAAGGAAUGGGAAACCUGGAGACGACAGGAAGGUCAGUUGGAUUUGGCCAGUCAGAGGCAAGGGUGCCAUGCUGUGGAAGCACAACCGUAACCUGUUCACAGGGGUGUCUUGUCCUUCCCAGAGAGCUCCAGAGUAGGCAGGCUUUGAACCGCUGUCCAGAACCCUCUAGAGUGGACAGUCUGUUCUCAGACUUCUCCCAGCAUCCCUACUUUGAGCCUGGGAAAGGACCCUCUCUGCCUACUGCCCUACAGAUCGUCAAGGGGCAAAGUGGGAGCAGUGCUGGGUGGAGGCUGUAGUGGCCCACAGGUGCCCCUGUGUGACUCAGCAGCUUGCGAGCCACUCAGCCCUGAGCAAGGCAAGAGCUGGUUUCAUGACCCCCUGCCAGAGCUUCAUCGUCCCCAGCCGACAGUGUGAGGGGUUCACCACCAAAGCCCUGUGGUUCUAGGGACCCUCAGAUUUCAGGAAGGACUCCAGGCACAGCCUCUGUGUUUAAACCAGGGCGGCUGAGACAGAGGCUGCCCCUAGAAAGACAUCUGCUUUCUGGUCUUUUGGCUGUUUGAGACAGUGGUGGUUUUGCAGGGACGAAUGGAAAGCUCAGGGAGAAAGUGGGUGGGAGCCCAGUGGGGCCCUGGGAAGCAGGCAGACCUCCCCUCCCACGCUGGGGAGCCGGGCUUCUGGCCUUCCCAGCAUGCCUCACUCCUGAGCCCUGCCCUCACUCCCCCGGCCCUCCCCCAAGGCUUGCUGGAGGUAAACAAGGCGGCAGCCGGGGAACUCCCUGGCAGGGCCCUCUCCGCCUGCGCUUGUGGUCAGGUGGUCUGGCCGGCAGUGAGUCAGCAUCCCAUGACCAGCCGUCAUAACAAGGGGAUCCCCAGCCCCCUUGCUGCCACCCACCUCAAUGACAUCUUAUCAGGCAGGCAAUCAAGAUAUAAGGAAACCCUUCCUGUCAAGCUAAUUAUAAUUCACAGCGAUUUGGUCACAACACGAACAAUACGCCUGUGAGCCAGUGGAAAACCUGAGAUACCUAUUCAGAAGACAGGCACCAGCGACAGAUAAGUAAAAUGAUGUGGUGAAUUGGACUCCUACUUGCUAUUGUAACUCUUGCUUGCAUUCUACCAGUUGGCUUAGCCACCCCUGCCAGGGAAGUGGCUCUUUUGUCUGUGCUGGGUUUAAGGGAAACACUCCACUACAGAAAUGCUUCCCCUAUUGACUCUGUCUGCUUUACUAGUCCCUGUAACUAGAGGAUAAUGGCAAGAAAACUCACUUAUCAACAUUUCCCCAAUCAUAUCCAAAGGAGAACAUUUAAAAGAUGCUGGAUGUGCCAUCAACACCCCCAGCUGGCCACUGGCCCUCCUCUUGCAUCCUCCUGAAACUGCCAGUUCCAAUGAACACGGUGGAUGGAGCUUGUAUGAUAACGAAUACUUUCUGCUGCACCAGGAUCAAUGCAACAGGACAGGCUUCAACAAUUUCAAGUAAAGCUCAUGACGGCUCAAGGAAUUCAACCCAUUCCAGUAGAGGGCAGCCCAGAUCCCAACAGGUCCUUGGAGAAGAGUCAGUGAGGGACUUACGCACUGCUAGGCUAGGCUAGGGUCUGUGGCUCCUGUCCAGCAGGAAGAAGUUUUACAAGAGAUCUUUGCCCUUUAAAGUAAGAAGUAGAUGGGCCCCAGGCCAAGCAGCUGGUGCUUGUCAGGCUGAGCAAAUAAGAGCUUGUCUCUUACUGACAGAUCAAGAAAAAGUUAACAGCAAGAGCAGAGAGAAACUAAGCUCUGCUGAAGUAAAAAAAUAAAGAUGACCGCAUCAUUCAUUCUUUGAAGCCAAGGAGCCCUCCCCACCUGCACACGCAGAAAAGCUCAGAGAAGAGAAGAGUUCCUCAGGAGUCAAAAAGGGAAGGGGGCACUACCCUGGGACAUGUUUCACCAACCUUCCAGAGGCCCUGGUGCUGGGACCCAUCUUGGUUAAAGGUGUCCAUGCACACUGGGGAGGGCCUUGAGGAGACAAGUUAUGGGCAGUGAGCCAGGCGGCUGGCCACAGGGAGCAAAGAAAACUGACCCCAUAUAAAUGAUCAAACCACCCCUUUGGUGCACUCCUCACUAGCAAAGACAUCCACACUCUUCUCUGAGUAUGUAGCUCUGCUUUGUUCUGUCCUAAAGAAACUGCUUCUUGUAUGCUCUCUCAUGCAUAUGAGGUUCUAAUAAACUCAGUGCUUGUUUUAUAA
Molecule: long non-coding RNA, 2853 nt
Organism: Cervus elaphus (red deer)
Lineage: Eukaryota; Metazoa; Chordata; Mammalia; Artiodactyla; Cervidae
Exons: 5
Source: RefSeq, a predicted model, not a curated record